CUUCAAGACUGUCUUGGUGUCCUUGUUAGUUUUUUGGUGAUGUGGACACCAAGGAACUUGAAGCUCUGAACCUGCUCCACUACAGCCCCGACGAUGAGAAUGGGGGUGUGCUCGGUCCUCCUUUUCCUGUAGUCCACAAUCGGCAAACUAAAUGAUGGUGUUGGAGUUGUGCCUGGUCGUGCAGUCAUGAGUAAACAGGGAGUACAGGAGGGGACUGAGCACGUACCCCUGAGGGGCCCCUGUGUUGUCGGAACAGUGUGGCGGAUGUGAUGUUACCUACCCUUACCACCUGGAGGUGUGGGGAAAUGCCUUCAAAUCCCAAGACUGGAUCAGAAGGUUGCUUCUACAUCUGCAUUGCUUGCUGUUUUGGGUUUUAGGCUGGGUUUCUGUAUAGCACUUUGUGACACCUGCUGAUGUAAAAAGGGCUUUAUAAAUAGAAUCGAUUGAUUAAAAACCGGCCACUAGUAGCAACAGUGAGCGCUAUAACCAUCAAGUAGGUUUGGGUUUUCCUAGGGUGUUGUGCACGUGGGUGGUAGAUGUGGUUAAUCCCAUAACUCUGGAUCAGAAGGUUGCAUGUUUAAUCCCAGUCAUGGACACUGUUUUAACCAUAUCCCAAACCUUAACCCUUUAACCUUUAACCUUUCUUAAUGAGUGACUAAACUUAACCCUUUAACCAUUAACCUUUAACCAUUCUUAAUGAGUUACUAAACAUAAACCUUAACUUCAAAAUUUGAUAUUUGGAGCAACUUCGAAAUCUGACGUUUGGAGAUAGUGGAUGAACAUCUAAUUCUGCAGUGAGACUGUGAGAGCUUGUUGCUAACACACCUGAUUCAACUCAACAAAGGCAUGGAGGGAGAUCUGUCAGUUGAAUCAGGUAUGUAUGCUAGUCCAGGGCUGGAACGAAAGUGUGCACCACCUUGAGACCUCCGGGAAUGGAUUGAGAUACUAUUUUUUGAAUUGUCAGCAUGCAGCCUAUUUUUACACAAAUAGGCCACAGUAGACAAAGACACACAAGCACACACGCUAUCAGCAGCCAGUUUUGUUUCAACGUCCCUGCCUCCCAUCAGGUUACCUGUCAACCACAUUACAACCACAUGCCUCCAUUCUAUCAAGUUACCCAUCAACCACAUAACAAGCCCUGCCUCCCUUCCAUCAGGUUACCUAUCAACCACAUAACAAGCCCUGCCUCUGCUACUUAUUACCUAUUAACACCAAUAAAAACCACAGAGGACAGUGCUACUAUGGGCUAAAGGCUAACCCAUAAAUACUACUCCCUUUUACGAGGAAACCCACACACACACGCACACACACACACACACACA
Molecule: long non-coding RNA, 1322 nt
Organism: Oncorhynchus tshawytscha (Chinook salmon)
Lineage: Eukaryota; Metazoa; Chordata; Actinopteri; Salmoniformes; Salmonidae
Source: Ensembl